This 468-nucleotide ribosomal RNA is filed under the name uncultured bacterium. Its description in RNAcentral is "partial 16S ribosomal RNA". It matches the Rfam family "Bacterial small subunit ribosomal RNA", at positions 28 to 507 of the family's 1533-position model. The record is from RNAcentral.
GAUGAACGCUGGCGGCGUGCUUAACACAUGCAAGUCGAACGGAAAGGCGCGACGUUUGUGGGGUUCUCGAGUGGCGAACGCAUGAGUAACACGUGAGUAAACUGCCCUUAUCUUUGGGAUAAAUUUAGGAAACUGGGGCUAAUAUCGGAGAGGAUCUUCUGCUGCAUGGGGGUGGUUGGAGAAUGUCGGCGGUUGGGGAUGGUCUCGCGGCUUAUGCGCUUGAUGGGUGGGUAGGGGCUGACAAGGGGUUUGACGGGUAGGCGGCCUGAGAGGGUGAACGGCCACAUUGGGCCUGAGAUACGGCCCAGAAUCCUACGGGAGGCAGCAGUGGGGAAUAUUGCACAACGGGCGGAAGCCUGAUGCAGCAACGCCGCGUGCGGGAUGACGGCCUUCGGGUUGUAAACCGCUUUCGACUGUGACGAAGCGUGAGUGACGGUAAUGGGUAAAGAAGCAACGGCUAACUACGUG